AGUGAACGCUGGCGGUAGGCCUAACACAUGCAAGUCGAACGGCAGCACAGUAAGAGCUUGCUCUUACGGGUGGCGAGUGGCGGACGGGUGAGGAAUACAUCGGAAUCUACUUUUUCGUGGGGGAUAACGUAGGGAAACUUACGCUAAUACCGCAUACGACCUACGGGUGAAAGCAGGGGAUCUUCGGACCUUGCGCGAUUGAAUGAGCCGAUGUCGGAUUAGCUAGUUGGCGGGGUAAAGGCCCACCAAGGCGACGAUCCGUAGCUGGUCUGAGAGGAUGAUCAGCCACACUGGAACUGAGACACGGUCCAGAGUCCUACGGGAGGCAGCAGUGGGGAAUAUUGGACAAUGGGCGCAAGACUGAUCCAGCCAUACCGCGUGGGUGAAGAAGGCCUUCGGGUUGUAAAGCCGUUUUGUUGGGAAAGAAAAGCAGCAGGUUAAUACCCCGCUGUUCUGACGGUACCCAAAGAAUAAGCACCGGCUAACUUCGUG
RNAcentral lists this ribosomal RNA (492 nucleotides) under uncultured bacterium. RNAcentral describes it as "partial 16S ribosomal RNA". It matches the Rfam family "Bacterial small subunit ribosomal RNA", at positions 29 to 507 of the family's 1533-position model. The record is from RNAcentral.